This 549-nucleotide long non-coding RNA is filed under the name Capsicum annuum. Its description in RNAcentral is "long non-coding RNA (CANN_LNC014825)". The record is from RNAcentral. Lineage: Eukaryota; Viridiplantae; Streptophyta; Magnoliopsida; Solanales; Solanaceae.
CUCAACUUGGCACGAUCUUUCACUUUGACACCUUUAGUUGACUGUGUUCAUUUUAGACACCUAAACCAGUCACCAACUGUGUCAUUUUGACACUUUUAGCUGACAUGGCAUGGCGAGUGUGGUACACUCGAAUUCAGCAAUUGGAGUUCUUAUUUAUCCGAAAAUAAUUUUAAAAAAUCUGCUUCUUCUUCAUUUUUUUGGCCCUUAUUCUUCAUCACCAUUUUUGGGUCUCCUAAGACCAUAAAUUCGCCGAAAUCAUCAUCACCAUCUCCAUUGAUGGUAUAAUUAUUUAACCUCGUAUACAUAAAUUUUCCGGUAUCACAAUUUUCUUCACUUCCUCCACUAAAAUUUUAGCUUCGACCAAACUCGCAAAUUCUCAAUUUCAAAUCUUCAAGUACUCAAGCAAUUAGUGAAAUUCUUUAAUGAGUUCUUGAAAAUUUUCAAUAAAGCAAAAAUUUCUCAUCGCCGGAGUUUCAAAAAUUUUCAACUUGAUUGUAACAUCCAAGGAUUUAAUUUAUUUUUUAACUUUUUUUGUUGAAAUGCCCUCAU